UCAUCUCCGGGGGUAGAGCACUGUUUCGGCAAGGGGGUCAUCCCGACUUACCAACCCGAUGCAAACUGCGAAUACCGGAGAAUGUUAUCACGGGAGACACACGGCGGGUGCUAACGUCCGUCGUGAAGAGGGAAACAACCCAGACCGCCAGCUAAGGUCCCAAAGUCAUGGUUAAGUGGGAAACGAUGUGGGAAGGCCCAGACAGCCAGGAUGUUGGCUUAGAAGCAGCCAUCAUUUAAAGAAAGCGUAAUAGCUCACUGGUCGAGUCGGCCUGCGCGGAAGAUGUAACGGGGCUAAACCAUGCACCGAAGCUGCGGCAGCGACGCUGAUGCGUUGUUGGGUAGGGGAGCGUUCUGUAAGCCUGCGAAGGUGUGCUGUGAGGCAUGCUGGAGGUAUCAGAAGUGCGAAUGCUGACAUAAGUAACGAUAAAGCGGGUGAAAAGCCCGCUCGCCGGAAGACCAAGGGUUCCUGUCCAACGUUAAUCGGGGCAGGGUGAGUCGACCCCUAAGGCGAGGCCGAAAGGCGUAGUCGAUGGGAAACAGGUUAAUAUUCCUGUACUUGGUGUUACUGCGAAGGGGGGACGGAGAAGGCUAUGUUGGCCGGGCGACGGUUGUCCCGGUUUAAGCGUGUAGGCUGGUUUUCCAGGCAAAUCCGGAAAAUCAAGGCUGAGGCGUGAUGACGAGGCACUACGGUGCUGAAGCAACAAAUGCCCUGCUUCCAGGAAAAGCCUCUAAGCAUCAGGUAACAUCAAAUCGUACCCCAAACCGACACAGGUGGUCAGGUAGAGAAUACCAAGGCGCUUGAGAGAACUCGGGUGAAGGAACUAGGCAAAAUGGUGCCGUAACUUCGGGAGAAGGCACGCUGAUAUGUAGGUGAAGUCCCUUGCGGAUGGAGCUGAAAUCAGUCGAAGAUACCAGCUGGCUGCAACUGUUUAUUAAAAACACAGCACUGUGCAAACACGAAAGUGGACGUAUACGGUGUGACGCCUGCCCGGUGCCGGAAGGUUAAUUGAUGGGGUCAGCGCAAGCGAAGCUCUUGAUCGAAGCCCCGGUAAACGGCGGCCGUAACUAUAACGGUCCUAAGGUAGCGAAAUUCCUUGUCGGGUAAGUUCCGACCUGCACGAAUGGCGUAAUGAUGGCCAGGCUGUCUCCACCCGAGACUCAGUGAAAUUGAACUCGCUGUGAAGAUGCAGUGUACCCGCGGCAAGACGGAAAGACCCCGUGAACCUUUACUAUAGCUUGACACUGAACAUUGAGCCUUGAUGUGUAGGAUAGGUGGGAGGCUUUGAAGUGUGGACGCCAGUCUGCAUGGAGCCGACCUUGAAAUACCACCCUUUAAUGUUUGAUGUUCUAACGUUGACCCGUAAUCCGGGUUGCGGACAGUGUCUGGUGGGUAGUUUGACUGGGGCGGUCUCCUCCUAAAGAGUAACGGAGGAGCACGAAGGUUGGCUAAUCCUGGUCGGACAUCAGGAGGUUAGUGCAAUGGCAUAAGCCAGCUUGACUGCGAGCGUGACGGCGCGAGCAGGUGCGAAAGCAGGUCAUAGUGAUCCGGUGGUUCUGAAUGGAAGGGCCAUCGCUCAACGGAUAAAAGGUACUCCGGGGAUAACAGGCUGAUACCGCCCAAGAGUUCAUAUCGACGGCGGUGUUUGGCACCUCGAUGUCGGCUCAUCACAUCCUGGGGCUGAAGUAGGUCCCAAGGGUAUGGCUGUUCGCCAUUUAAAGUGGUACGCGAGCUGGGUUUAGAACGUCGUGAGACAGUUCGGUCCCUAUCUGCCGUGGGCGCUGGAGAAUUGAGGGGGGCUGCUCCUAGUACGAGAGGACCGGAGUGGACGCAUCACUGGUGUUCGGGUUGUCAUGCCAAUGGCACUGCCCGGUAGCUAAAUGCGGAAGAGAUAAGUGCUGAAAGCAUCUAAGCACGAAACUUGCCCCGAGAUGAGUUCUCCCUGACUCCUUGAGAGUCCUGAAGGAACGUUGAAGACGACGACGUUGAUAGGCCGGGUGUGUAAGCGCAGCGAUGCGUUGAGCUAACCGGUACUAAUGAACCGUGAGGCUUAACCUU
Molecule: ribosomal RNA, 2058 nt
Filed under: Escherichia coli KTE51
Lineage: Bacteria; Pseudomonadati; Pseudomonadota; Gammaproteobacteria; Enterobacterales; Enterobacteriaceae
Description: bacterial LSU rRNA
Rfam family: Bacterial large subunit ribosomal RNA
Source: RNAcentral